This 301-nucleotide ribosomal RNA is filed under the name uncultured bacterium. Its description in RNAcentral is "partial 16S ribosomal RNA". It matches the Rfam family "Bacterial small subunit ribosomal RNA", at positions 509 to 809 of the family's 1533-position model. The record is from RNAcentral.
CAGUAGCCGCGGUAAUACGGAGGGUGCAAGCGUUAAUCGGAAUUACUGGGCGUAAAGCGCACGCAGGCGGUUUGUUAAGUCAGAUGUGAAAUCCCCGAGCUUAACUUGGGAACUGCAUUUGAAACUGGCAAGCUAGAGUCUUGUAGAGGGGGGUAGAAUUCCAGGUGUAGCGGUGAAAUGCGUAGAGAUCUGGAGGAAUACCGGUGGCGAAGGCGGCCCCCUGGACAAAGACUGACGCUCAGGUGCGAAAGCGUGGGGAGCAAACAGGAUUAGAUACCCGUGUAGUCCCUGUCUCUUAUCC